CUGGCUCAGGAUGAACGCUGGCGGCGUGCCUAACACAUGCAAGUCGAACGGGGUUACUGGCAGCGGAGAUUCGGUCAAAGCAGCCUUUAAUCUAGUGGCGGACGGGUGAGUAACGCGUGGGGAACCUGCCCUGUACUGGGGGGAUAACAGUGAGAAAUCACUGCUAAUACCGCAUAAGCGCACAGCAUCGCAUGAUGCAGUGUGAAAAACUGAGGUGGUACAGGAUGGCUCCGCGUUGGAUUAGCCAGUUGGCGGGGUAACGGCCCACCAAAGCGACGAUCCAUAGCCGGCCUGAGAGGGUGAACGGCCACAUUGGGACUGAGACACGGCCCAGACUCCUACGGGAGGCAGCAGUGGGGAAUAUUGCACAAUGGGGGAAACCCUGAUGCAGCGAACCGCCGCGUGAAGGAAGAAGUAUCUCGGUAUGUAAACUUCUAUCAGCAGGGAAGAUGAUGACGGCACCUGACUAAGAAGCCCCGGCUAACUACGUGCCAGCAGCCGC
Molecule: ribosomal RNA, 502 nt
Filed under: uncultured bacterium
Lineage: Bacteria
Description: bacterial SSU rRNA
Rfam family: Bacterial small subunit ribosomal RNA
Source: RNAcentral